GAUUAACGCUGGCGGCGUGCCUAAUACAUGCAAGUCGAACGGAGAGCUUCUGGUAAUUUAUUAUCGGAAGGUCUUAGUGGCGAACGGGUGAGUAACGCGUUGGUGACCUGCCCCGAAGAGUGGAAUAACCCCGGGAAACUGGGGCUAAUACCGCAUGUGGUCACGGUUUUUAGAAAACCGUGUCUAAAGGACUUCGGUCCACUUCGGGAGGGGCCUGCGUCCCAUCAGCUAGUUGGUAGGGUAAUGGCCUACCAAGGCGAAGACGGGUAGGGGACCUGAGAGGGUGACCCCCCACAAUGGUACUGAAACACGGACCAUACACCUACGGGUGGCAGCAGUAGGGAAUAUUGCACAAUGGACGAAAGUCUGAUGCAGCAACGCCGCGUGUGCGAUGAAGGCCUUCGGGCUGUAAAGCACUUUUCUGAGGG
Molecule: ribosomal RNA, 428 nt
Filed under: uncultured bacterium
Lineage: Bacteria
Description: bacterial SSU rRNA
Rfam family: Bacterial small subunit ribosomal RNA
Source: RNAcentral